GAUGAACGCUGGCGGCGUGCCUAAUACAUGCAAGUCGAGCGAACAGACGAGGAGCUUGCUCCUCUGACGUUAGCGGCGGACGGGUGAGUAACACGUGGAUAACCUACCUAUAAGACUGGGAUAACUUCGGGAAACCGGAUCUAAUACCGGAUAAUAUAUUGAACCGCAUGGUUCAAUAGUGAAAGACGGUUUUGCUGUCUCUUAUAGAUGGAUCCGCGCCGCAUUAGCUAGUUGGUAAGGUAACGGCUUACCAAGGCAACGAUGCGUAGCCGACCUGAGAGGGUGAUCGGCCACACUGGAACUGAGACACGGUCCAGACGCCUACGGGAGGCAGCAGUAGGGAAUCUUCCGCAAUGGGCGAAAGCCUGACGGAGCAACGCCGCGUGAGUGAUGAAGGUCUUCGGAUCGUAAAACUCUGUUAUUAGGGAAGAACAAAUGUGUAAGUAACUAUGCACGUAUUGACGGUACCUAAUCAGAAAGCCACGGCUAACUACGUG
RNAcentral lists this ribosomal RNA (497 nucleotides) under uncultured bacterium. RNAcentral describes it as "partial 16S ribosomal RNA". It matches the Rfam family "Bacterial small subunit ribosomal RNA", at positions 28 to 507 of the family's 1533-position model. The record is from RNAcentral.